GAUGAACGCUAGCUACAGGCUUAACACAUGCAAGUCGAGGGGAAACGACAUCGAAAGCUUGCUUUCGAUGGGCGUCGACCGGCGCACGGGUGAGUAACGCGUAUCCAACCUGCCCACCACUUGGGGAUAACCUUGCGAAAGUAAGACUAAUACCCAAUGAUAUCUCUAGAAGACAUCUGAAAGAGAUUAAAGAUUUAUCGGUGAUGGAUGGGGAUGCGUCUGAUUAGCAUGUUGGCGGGGUAACGGCCCACCAAGGCUACGAUCAGUAGGGGUUCUGAGAGGAAGGUCCCCCACAUUGGAACUGAGACACGGUCCAAACUCCUACGGGAGGCAGCAGUGAGGAAUAUUGGUCAAUGGGCGAGAGCCUGAACCAGCCAAGUAGCGUGCAGGAUGACGGCCCUAUGGGUUGUAAACUGCUUUUAUAAGGGAAUAAAGUGAGCCUCGUGAGGCUUUUUGCAUGUACCUUAUGAAUAAGGACCGGCUAAUUCCGUGCCAGCCGCCGCGGUAA
RNAcentral lists this ribosomal RNA (508 nucleotides) under uncultured bacterium. Its description in RNAcentral is "partial 16S ribosomal RNA". It matches the Rfam family "Bacterial small subunit ribosomal RNA", at positions 28 to 523 of the family's 1533-position model. The record is from RNAcentral.